GCUGAGCACUCGGCCUCCUUCAGGCCAUCUGGGACCAGCCAUGCCAGACACCGCCGUGGGCUCAUUUGCAGCUGCCACCUGCACAUGGCCGGCAGCCGCAAUGCUGGCAACCCCUGACCUUGCAGGCAUCACCAGCUGCAGGGACCACAGGGCCAGAUACCUUCUAGGUGCCUAAUUCAGACGGUCGGCCUCGCAGCUGUAGUAGGGCUGGAACUGGCCUUCAGCCCCAUUCCUGUGGCUGUUCAAAGCCGAGCACCCGUGACCUAGCAAUAUGGGCGGGGGCCAAGAAAGAGCGGACCCUAGGUUGGGGCGCUGAGCACUCGGCGACCCUCAGGCCAUCUGGGUCCAUUCCUGCCAGCCUUUGCCAUGGGUUCAGCUGCAGCUGACACCUGAACAUGGCCGGGGUCAGCAACCGGGGCAACCCGGACUGUUUCCUUGACUGCUAUCGCGGUCCACGGGGCCAGACGCUGCGGUGGCGCCUAAGUCACGCAGUUGCACCCGCAGCUGCAGGAAGGUGGAAACCAGUGCCCAGUCCCAUCCUGGUGGCUGCAGAGUGCCCAGCUCCAGGGACCCCUGGGCGCCUCAGCUGCAGCUGCCACCUGCAUGCUGUGCCCACGAGAUCGCGACUCAGGACGAUUUCUGGCCACGGGCAGUUUGUGGCCACGCGCGGGGCCGUUACCUUCUGAGGUGCCAGUGCGCGCUGGGGCCCAAUGGCUCUGCUCCGUAUAUUUCUUCUCCGAGAGGUUGGAGACGUCCCUCUCAGAGAAGUUGGAGGGUCCCUGUCUGAGGUCUGGGCCAGACCGUCUUGCUUUCCGGUGCUGGUCAGGGUGGGGGCUGGGCGGGGGGAAGGGCCAGGGCUAGUUGUGGCGUCUCUGAAGCCGAUAGCCGGGCCUUGAAGAAGAUCUUAGCUGUGGAGAGCCAGAAUGGCCAGGUGCCCCUGAGCUCCUGGAAUAACCGCAUAUUCUCUGACCUCAUCUGGUACCAGACCCCAGAUGAGGAUCUGGAAGAUCCACAAAGCUGCGUCCAGGGAAACGCGUGGAAGCUGCAGCGGAGCCUCCUGCUCAAGAGAAAAGACCAGUCUGAAACCUACAAGAAGAACAG
Molecule: long non-coding RNA, 1101 nt
Filed under: Pongo abelii (Sumatran orangutan)
Lineage: Eukaryota; Metazoa; Chordata; Mammalia; Primates; Hominidae
Description: lincRNA
Source: RNAcentral